GCCAGGUGUGGUGGUGUACACCUGUAAUCCCAGCAGCUUGGGAGACUGAGGCAGGAAGAUCACGAGUUCAAAGCCAGCCUCAGCAAAAAGCGAGGCACUAAGCAAGUCAGUGAGACCCUGUCUCUA
Molecule: small RNA, 126 nt
Filed under: Marmota monax (woodchuck)
Lineage: Eukaryota; Metazoa; Chordata; Mammalia; Rodentia; Sciuridae
Source: RNAcentral